Molecule: non-coding RNA, 24 nt
Filed under: Arabidopsis thaliana (thale cress)
Lineage: Eukaryota; Viridiplantae; Streptophyta; Magnoliopsida; Brassicales; Brassicaceae
Source: RNAcentral
ACAGGGACCAGUUUACAUCACCGA